AAGCUCCUGCUAUACUUUUAUGUUUUGGACCUCUAACUACAUAACACAACUGUGAACUAUAUGUUUUCAUUAAUGAAAACGGGGGCUGAGCCCUUAUUACUGUAAAAAAGUAAAUUCCUUUCAGGUAAUCAACAGUCUCCCAGUCCUCUUCAGAACAACAUUGAAUGGAUUUUCUUUUGCAAGGAAAUUACCCCUGUUAAAAACAAAGGAGUGCUGCAAUUUAAGCUGUGUUGCUCCUAAUCCCUAAUAAUCCCUACCAAUUUAAGCUGUCGUGAUUCACGAAUCAUGAUUGAUAUGCCUUCCUAACUUGAUCUUGAACCAAAAUAGAUUAGAAAUCCUAAAACCAGUGCCGCGAUGCAUGAAGAAAUCUUACUGCUCCGCGAGGCAGAGGAGGACUUGGUCGUGGAGGUACUCGCCGCAAUAGAAACCCUCGCACUGGCCGGCGCUGAGCCGCAGGGCUUGGCGCACCAUGAUGCCGAGGCUGACCCGCGGGCGGAAGGGCGGCACGCGCGGGUCUCGCAUGUCGAUGCGGCGCCAGAGCACGGGCUCCUCCCGCGCGGCCCGGCGCCAGGACCGGC
RNAcentral lists this long non-coding RNA (578 nucleotides) under Brachypodium distachyon (stiff brome). Its description in RNAcentral is "long non-coding RNA (BDIS_LNC003112)". Lineage: Eukaryota; Viridiplantae; Streptophyta; Magnoliopsida; Poales; Poaceae. The record is from RNAcentral.